This 162-nucleotide small nuclear RNA is filed under the name Suricata suricatta (meerkat). RNAcentral describes it as "U1 spliceosomal RNA (ENSSSUG00005007046.1)". It matches the Rfam family "U1 spliceosomal RNA". From Rfam's summary of the family: U1 is a small nuclear RNA (snRNA) component of the spliceosome (involved in pre-mRNA splicing). The record is from Rfam by way of RNAcentral. Lineage: Eukaryota; Metazoa; Chordata; Mammalia; Carnivora; Herpestidae.
AUACCUACCUGGCAGGGGAGACACCAUGAUCCGGAAGGUGGUUCUCCCAGGGCGAGGCCCGUCCAUUGCACCGCGGGCACACUGACCCCUGCGAUUUCCCCAAAUGCGGGAAACUCAACUGCAUAAUUUCUGGUAGUGGGGACUGCGUGCGCGCUCUCCCCC